RNAcentral lists this ribosomal RNA (253 nucleotides) under uncultured bacterium. RNAcentral's name for it is "partial 16S ribosomal RNA". It matches the Rfam family "Bacterial small subunit ribosomal RNA", at positions 524 to 776 of the family's 1533-position model. The record is from RNAcentral.
UACGAAGGGGGCUAGCGUUGUUCGGAUUUACUGGGCGUAAAGCGCGUGUAGGCGGGUCGUUAAGUUGGGGGUGAAAUCCCGGAGCUCAACUCCGGAACUGGCUUCAAAACUGGCGACCUGGACUCAAGCAGAGGCAAGUGGAAUUGCGAGUGUAGAGGUGAAAUUCGUAGAUAUUCGCAGGAACACCAGUGGCGAAGGCGACUUGCUGGGCUUGUAGUGACGCUGAGACGCCAAAGCGUGGGGAGCAUACAGG